Molecule: ribosomal RNA, 460 nt
Filed under: uncultured bacterium
Lineage: Bacteria
Description: partial 16S ribosomal RNA
Rfam family: Bacterial small subunit ribosomal RNA
Source: RNAcentral
CCUACGGGAGGCAGCAGUGAGGAAUAUUGGUCAAUGGACGAGAGUCUGAACCAGCCAAGUAGCGUGAAGGAUGACUGCCCUAUGGGUUGUAAACUUCUUUUAUAUGGGAAUAAAAUGUUCCACGUGUGGGAUUUUGUAUGUACCAUAUGAAUAAGGAUCGGCUAACUCCGUGCCAGCAGCCGCGGUAAUACGGAGGAUCCGAGCGUUAUCCGGAUGUAUUGGGUUUAAAGGGAGCGUAGGUGGAUUGUUAAGUCAGUUGUGAAAGUUUGCGGCUCAACCGUAGAAUUGCAGUUGAAACUGGCAGUCUUGAGUACAGUAGAGGUGGGCGGAAUUCGUGGUGUAGCGGUGAAAUGCUUAGAUAUCACGAAGAACUCCGAUUGCGAAGGCAGCUCACUGGACUGCAACUGACACUGAGGCUCGAAAGUGUGGGUAUCAAACAGGAUUAGAUACCCCUGUAGUC